Molecule: ribosomal RNA, 447 nt
Filed under: uncultured bacterium
Lineage: Bacteria
Description: bacterial SSU rRNA
Rfam family: Bacterial small subunit ribosomal RNA
Source: RNAcentral
UCGGGAAUUUUGGGCAAUGGGCGAAAGCCUGACCCAGCAACGCCGCGUGAAGGAUGAAGUAUUUCGGUAUGUAAACUUCGAAAGAAUAGGAAGAAUAAAUGACGGUACUAUUUAUAAGGUCCGGCUAACUACGUGCCAGCAGCCGCGGUAAUACGUAGGGACCAAGCGUUGUUCGGAUUUACUGGGCGUAAAGGGCGCGUAGGCGGCAAUUCAAGUCAUCUGUGAAAUCUCCGGGCUUAACUCGGAACGGUCAGAUGAUACUGCUUUGCUAGAGUGCAGAAGGGGCAAUCGGAAUUCUUGGUGUAGCGGUGAAAUGCGUAGAUAUCAAGAGGAACACCUGAGGUGAAGACGGGUUGCUGGGCUGACACUGACGCUGAGGCGCGAAAGCCAGGGGAGCAAACGGGUUUAGAUACCCCUGUAGUCCCUGAGCGGGCUGGCAAGGCGCAU